RNAcentral lists this long non-coding RNA (224 nucleotides) under Neodiprion lecontei (redheaded pine sawfly). Its description in RNAcentral is "uncharacterized LOC124295129, transcript variant X1". Lineage: Eukaryota; Metazoa; Arthropoda; Insecta; Hymenoptera; Diprionidae. The record is from RNAcentral.
GUCAACGGCUGACCAUCGAAGGGCCGAGCCGCUUGAGUCUGGAAUCGGCAGGACAGAUAAAGUAUAACCCGAGUUGGAUAGUGGUGGUCGUUUGAGGUGGUUGGCGGUUGUUGGAGGUGGUCGAAGGUGGACGAGAAGGAGGACGAGGAGGACGAGGAUUUGUGCUCGGUAUAACCCGAGGUGGAUAGUGGUGGUCGUUUGAGGUGGUUGGCGGUUGUUGGAGG